RNAcentral lists this ribosomal RNA (490 nucleotides) under uncultured bacterium. RNAcentral's name for it is "partial 16S ribosomal RNA". It matches the Rfam family "Bacterial small subunit ribosomal RNA", at positions 30 to 507 of the family's 1533-position model. The record is from RNAcentral.
AUUGAACGCUGGCGGCAGGCCUAACACAUGCAAGUCGAACGGUAACAGGAAGAAGCUUGCUUCUUUGCUGACGAGUGGCGGACGGGUGAGUAAUGUCUGGGAAACUGCCUGAUGGAGGGGGAUAACUACUGGAAACGGUAGCUAAUACCGCAUAACGUCGCAAGACCAAAGAGGGGGACCUUCGGGCCUCUUGCCAUCGGAUGUGCCCAGAUGGGAUUAGCUAGUAGGUGGGGUAACGGCUCACCUAGGCGACGCUCCCUAGCUGGUCUGAGAGGAUGACCAGCCACACUGGAACUGAGACACGGUCCAGACUCCUACGGGAGGCAGCAGUGGGGAAUAUUGCACAAUGGGCGCAAGCCUGAUGCAGCCAUGCCGCGUGUAUGAAGAAGGCCUUCGGGUUGUAAAGUACUUUCAGCGGGGAGGAAGGGAGUAAAGUUAAUACCUUUGCUCAUUGACGUUACCCGCAGAAGAAGCACCGGCUAACUCCGUG